Doryrhamphus excisus (bluestripe pipefish) is the source of this 812-nucleotide non-coding RNA. The record is from RefSeq and is a predicted model, not a curated record. NCBI's taxonomy places the organism in Eukaryota, Metazoa, Chordata, Actinopteri, Syngnathiformes, Syngnathidae.
AAUAAAUCCUGAUGGUAAAUAUACGUCAAAUCAUCGUGGAUUGUCUUCCUUAUUCUGUACCACAGUUUGUAGGACUUUGCACCAAAGACCAACAAAACAGACUGAUAUAAUAUGAGGAACCAGUCGCCCAAAGAGAGUCGGGAUAGGCUCCAGCACACCUCGGCAUAGAAAAUGGAACUACUGGUGAUUGGGUGCUGUGACCUGCUAACAACUCUGACUCUGUUUAUCAUCUUAUAUUACCAUUCAUUAGUGGCUCUUAUCUGGAGAGGAGAGAUGAUUAAAUAGACUCCAGCACAAACAUCACCGUGCGGAGGAAUCACCCCCCCCGCCCUCCCUCCCCAGCCUGAGCUGAACUGGUUCUCGCCGGUCUGAUGUGGCGCACGGCUGUAUGAGGGAAACCCAGGGAGGCGUGAUCACAUCCUUGUGUGAGUAAUACUGCCCCUUUUCAAAGAGCAUGUAUCAUCAGAACAAAGAGCAAACAAAAGAAUGCAAGCUAGAAAUGUGCUAAGCGUAUGCUUUAUUAGGAAGAAUUUAGGCCGGGUUAUGACUCAUAACUACGAUCAUAUAUUGAUCAACUUGAUGAGUUCUGUUUAUAUUACAUUUCUGGAUAUGUUCAAAUAUAUUUCCGCUUAUGUCCAAACUUUUUGAUAUACAGUACUAUAUAUAUUUUUAGAUUUAUAUUACUAUGUACAGUAUAUUCAAUAUAAUAAAAUAUAUAUUAUAUUCAUUUUUAUUUUAUUUUAUGAAGUACUUAGGUGACAAAUGAUAUAUCUGAUUAAUAAUGAUUUUUUUUUAAUUUUUAGAAUAUGCAA